CCAUGAAGAAAAAGAGGAAAAAGAGGCAUCCCUCCCUUCUUUCUUGGUGCCCAAAAAGAAAAGAAAAGAGAAGGGGGCAUCCAAGAGUUGGACGCCCAUAUCUCAUGAUCUUGUCUCUCCUCUUCUCCUCCCUUCUUGAAAGUUUUCUUUUUUAAAAAUCUUUUAUUGUUAAUUUUUGGACAUCAAAGAGAGGCUUCUCUACUGGUUUUAUAGUAGAAAAUUGAAGAAGAAAAGUUCUUCCCAACGAGAGAAAGAGAAGGAAGAAGAAGGAUCUUCUUUCUUGUGCGCA
Molecule: long non-coding RNA, 289 nt
Filed under: Elaeis guineensis (African oil palm)
Lineage: Eukaryota; Viridiplantae; Streptophyta; Magnoliopsida; Arecales; Arecaceae
Description: long non-coding RNA (EGUI_LNC042196)
Source: RNAcentral